AAUAGAUACCCGGGUAGUCCACGCCGUAAACGUUGGGCGCUAGGUGUGGGGUCCGUUCCACGGGUUCCGUGCCGCAGCUAACGCAUCAAGCGCCCCGCCUGGGGAGUACGGCCGCAAGGCUAAAACUCAAAGGAAUUGACGGGGGCCCGCACAAGCGGCGGAGCAUGCGGAUUAAUUCGAUGCAACGCGAAGAACCUUACCAAGGCUUGACAUGGGCGGUAAUCCGGUAGAGAUGUCGGGUCCGUAAGGGCCGUUCACAGGUGGUGCAUGGUUGUCGUCAGCUCGUGUCGUGAGAUGUUGGGUUAAGUCCCGCAACGAGCGCAACCCUUGUUCCAUGUUGCCAGCACUUCGGGUGGGGACUCAUGGGAGACUGCCGGGGUCAACUCGGAGGAAGGUGGGGAUGACGUCAAAUCAUCAUGCCCCUUAUGUCUUGGGCUUCACGCAUGCUACAAUGGCCAGUACAAAGGGCUGCGAGACCGUGAGGUGGAGCGAAUCCCAAAAAGCUGGUCUCAGUUCGGAUCGGGGUCUGCAACUCGA
Molecule: ribosomal RNA, 537 nt
Filed under: uncultured bacterium
Lineage: Bacteria
Description: bacterial SSU rRNA
Rfam family: Bacterial small subunit ribosomal RNA
Source: RNAcentral